AGCAGCCGCGGUAAUUCCAGCUCCAAUAGCGAAUAUUAAAGUUGUUGCAGUUAAAAAGCUCGUAGUUGAAUUUCGGGGUUCUACCGUUGGUCAGGCUAUUGUCUGUACUGGUGUGUAGAAUUUCUACCUUCUGGGGAACUAUCAUGUUAUUAAUUUAGCGUGGUAGGAAACCAGGACCCUUACCUUGAAAAAAUUAGAGUGUCCAAAGCAGGCUUAUGUCUGAAUACAUUAGCAUGGAAUAAUAAAAUAGGACGGUGGUCCUGUUUUGUUGGUUUCUGAAUCACCGUAAUGAUUAAUAGGGAUAGUUGGGGGCAUUAGUAUUCAAUUGUCAGAGGUGAAAUUCUUGGAUUUAU
This 353-nucleotide ribosomal RNA is filed under the name uncultured Racocetra. RNAcentral's name for it is "SSU rRNA". It matches the Rfam family "Eukaryotic small subunit ribosomal RNA", at positions 569 to 929 of the family's 1831-position model. Lineage: Eukaryota; Fungi; Glomeromycota; Glomeromycetes; Diversisporales; Gigasporaceae. The record is from RNAcentral.